GUAGAGCUGGAGGGGAGCAGAGUGCUCAGGCCAUUACCAUCCCGCUCUCUCCACUGGCUGAGGAUUUUCCCCACUUUUUCUUCCCCUUUUCCCAGCAACCCAAAAGGAACACUUUCUCCCUUCUCUGUUUGUGAUAAAGGGGGACAGUCAGAUUGGAAGAUGACAAAGCAAGGAUGGCAAUGGAAUAUAUACUGCUGUUAAGGAGGAAGGAGUAAUAACAGUUCAUGAGGAAAACAAAACAAAACAAAACAACAAGAAAAUAAAAUGUAAUUCUUGACUCUA
Long non-coding RNA from Monodelphis domestica (gray short-tailed opossum), 282 nucleotides. RefSeq lists it as uncharacterized. The record is from RefSeq and is a predicted model, not a curated record. NCBI's taxonomy places the organism in Eukaryota, Metazoa, Chordata, Mammalia, Didelphimorphia, Didelphidae.